This is a long non-coding RNA of Acanthopagrus latus (yellowfin seabream), 2150 nucleotides long. RefSeq lists it as uncharacterized. The record is from RefSeq and is a predicted model, not a curated record. The transcript has 2 exons. NCBI's taxonomy places the organism in Eukaryota, Metazoa, Chordata, Actinopteri, Spariformes, Sparidae.
AAUUCUGUCCCACAAGAAAAAGUCAAUGGGGUCAAUUCAGGGCUGAGACCCAUCUUUCAUUAAAGUUUCAUGGAAAUCUGCGCGAGAGUAAUCCUGCUGCAAGCAGACACAACAUUCUUUGGUGCAGAUACUGAAGGAUCCGUCUGAAUCAGAAACGUCUCCUCCUCCAUCAGAAACCACUUUGGUUUAGUUCAACCAAUGAUCUCAGAGCUCUUCCUGUCCAGAACUCUAUCCAGGAACAGGAAACUCAGCACAAAGAAAGCAAAACAGGGCAGUGACAAUGCCACCAACAAUAUUUUUAAAAAUACCCCCAUAAAAAAAAAAUGGAAUACUUAAUGUUUGCAUUCCUUAAUUGACUAUUCAGUCAAUAUUAAAAUUUAGACAAGGUUGAUUCUAUUAAUUUGUUACUUCCACCAAGGAGGUGGAAGGUCCCUGUCUUUGUUGGUCUGCUGGUUUGUCAGCAGGAUUACACACCAACUACAGGACAGAUUUGGAUGGGUCUCGGCCCAGAUUUCACCUAAUUAUCUUUUGGUGUAGAUCCGGAUAAAGGGACAGAUACAGAAAUGUGUUCUCACUUUAUUCAAUCGUGCAUUAUGGGGCUUUUUUAAAAUCUGUAUUCUUCCCACAAGGAACAUUAUUCCUUGAAAAGAAGCUUCCAUACAGUUAUAGGGGGGCUGCUGUCUAACAUUGAGUGCAGUUGGAUGUGGAUUCAAAAACAAAUUAUUUAUUUAGAAUUAUUUAUCCACGACACAAUGGAGAUUUAUACAAAGUAAAUGUAUAGUCAUUUUCAUUUUUUCAACACAAAGGCUUUAAAAAAAUAUAAGUAUAUGAGUUUGUUUUUUUCAGAUGGCAGCAGGGUGAACAGACUGACUGGGGUGGGUGUUGUCUGGUCAGGUGACAAGGAAGCACACAGCGGCAAACGUCUGGAUAGAGCCCUCAUCUUCAUCACUGAAGAUGUAUAUUCCUAAAGACUGAUGUUGUUAUCCCGGCAGCAUCUCUGAACAUUUGGCUGUGCACUCAAAACAGUCCAGUACGGCUGCUGUAGCUCCAAUCGUCCACACUUUUGACCCUCUUGAUCAGCUGUGAGUAAACAGACAGAAGAAGGGAAACAGACCGAAGUGAGGACCUAGGAGGGCUUUGUAGCUGCUAUAAUAAAGAUUCCAUCCUGUUGUCUAGUCAUACUGCUACGGAUUACAUCAUACAAUUCUUGUUGAGCUGUUUUUGAGUUUGCAUCUGUGGGAACAGCAACAAUAAAAAUCACAGUAAUCUCCACAGAGUCCUUGGUGAACAUGUGGGCACAGCAGUCUCUGACUUCUCAUUGCCGAGUAAGCCCGAGUCCCUUCCUGACAGACCAUCUCCUCUCGAAGCUGAACAGAACCUUGUCCAUGUGAUCAGCAGCAAACUUCAGUCCAGCUUUCAGGUGCCGCGUCUGGAGCAAGGACUCAUUUCUUGCAGGGCAGCCUCUCAGCUCGUGUUGGUGUAAACACUGACAGCUGUCUUCAAGAAGCUUCUAAUAUAUAGCGGACUUGCUUUAUGGUGGUUUUUGGUUGACUCGUGACCAUCCUGGCCAGUUCUCUCUCAGAAGCAGGUGAUAGCUCGUGUUUUCUUCCUGAUCGUAGCAGUGACACAACUGUGCCACGUACUUUAUACUUACAGUCUGUACAGUUCAUCUUGGGACCUGUAACUGCUUUGAAAUGGCUCCAAGUGACUUUCCUGACAUGUUCAAAUCAAUAAUGCACACUUUCAGAUCAAUGCUGAGCUCCUUCAACUUUCCUAUUGUAGUGUUUAUGGCUGAGUCUAAUGGGUCUAUCAAACAAGCCCUAUUAAAAUAGACCCAGAAAAGUCACCAGCUGUUACCGAUCAGAAUCACUCAGAACAAGUUGAGAAGCCCCGAUACAAAGAACAUUUGUUUGACACAACUUUCUAUAAUCGCCUAAAUCGAUAAUUCAAGUUACUGUAUGUAUAUUUCUGAGGUACCAGAUCUGGGCACAUGACUUCAUAAUUGAAACAAACUUCAUGUUUUUUGUGACAAAGCAUUUUGUUUUCAUCUCGUUCCAUCACAGAAAAAGUGAGAGCUGCAUAAAUCACUGGAAUUGAAGACCGCCAUGAUACACAUGUUCAUUUUGUUCAUAACUCAGCGAUUAAAAAAA